GUAGGUGGCAAGCGUUGUCCGGAAUUAUUGGGCGUAAAGCGCGCGCAGGCGGUUCUUUAAGUCUGAUGUGAAAGCCCACGGCUCAACCGUGGAGGGUCAUUGGAAACUGGAGAACUUGAGUACAGAAGAGGAAAGCGGAAUUCCACGUGUAGCGGUGAAAUGCGUAGAGAUGUGGAGGAACACCAGUGGCGAAGGCGGCUUUCUGGUCUGUAACUGACACUGAGGCGCGAAAGCGUGGGGAGCAAACAGGAUUAGAUACCCUGGUAGUCCACGCCGUAAACGAUGAGUGCUAAGUGUUAGGGGGUUUCCGCCCCCCUUAGUGCUGCAGCUAACGCAUUAAGCACUCCGCCUGGGAUACGGCCGCAAGGCUG
RNAcentral lists this ribosomal RNA (371 nucleotides) under uncultured organism. Its description in RNAcentral is "partial 16S ribosomal RNA". It matches the Rfam family "Bacterial small subunit ribosomal RNA", at positions 527 to 896 of the family's 1533-position model. The record is from RNAcentral.